RNAcentral lists this ribosomal RNA (664 nucleotides) under uncultured bacterium. RNAcentral's name for it is "bacterial SSU rRNA". It matches the Rfam family "Bacterial small subunit ribosomal RNA", at positions 216 to 871 of the family's 1533-position model. The record is from RNAcentral.
CGCUCAAAGAUGGUUCUGCGUCUGAUUAGCUAGUUGGUGGGNCAACGGCCUACCAAGGCGACGAUCAGUAGCCGGUCUGAGAGGAUGAACGGCCACAUUGGAACUGAGACACGGUCCAGACUCNUACGAGAGGCAGCAGUGGGGAAUCUUCCGCAAUGGGCGAAAGCCUGACGGAGCAACGCCGCGUGAGUGAAGAAGGCCUUCGGGUCGUAAAGCUCUGUUGUCAGGGACGAAUGUAGCGCUUAUCAACAACGAGUGCUAAUGACGGUACCUGACGAGGAAGCCACGGCUAACUACGUGCCAGCAGCCGCGGUAAUACGUAGGUGGCGAGCGUUGUCCGGAAUUAUUGGGCGUAAAGGGAGCGCAGGCGGGAGGCCAAGUCCAUCCUAAAAGUUCGGGGCUCAACCCCGUGAGGGGAUGGAAACUGGUCUUCUUGAGUGCAGGAGAGGAAAGCGGAAUUCCUAGUGUAGCGGUGAAAUGCGUAGAUAUUAGGAGGAACACCAGUGGCGAAGGCGGCUUUCUGGACUGUAACUGACGCUGAGGCUCGAAAGCCAGGGGAGCGAACGGGAUUAGAUACCCCGGUAGUCCUGGCCGUAAACGAUGAAUGCUAGGUGUAGGAGGUAUCGACCCCUCCUGUGCCGGAGUUAACGCAAUAAGCAUUCCG